Molecule: ribosomal RNA, 409 nt
Filed under: uncultured bacterium
Lineage: Bacteria
Description: bacterial SSU rRNA
Rfam family: Bacterial small subunit ribosomal RNA
Source: RNAcentral
UGGGGAAUAUUGCGCAAUGGGCGAAAGCCUGACGCAGCGACGCCGCGUGAGGGAUGAAGGCCCUCGGGUUGUAAACCUCUUUCAGCAGGGACGAAGCGCAAGUGACGGUACCUGCAGAAGAAGCACCGGCCAACUACGUGCCAGCAGCCGCGGUAAUACGUAGGGUGCAAGCGUUGUCCGGAAUUAUUGGGCGUAAAGAGCUCGUAGGCGGCCUGUCGCGUCGGCUGUGAAAAUCCGGGGCUCAACCCCGGACCUGCAGUCGAUACGGGCAGGCUAGAGUCCGGCAGGGGAGACUGGAAUUCCUGGUGUAGCGGUGAAAUGCGCAGAUAUCAGGAGGAACACCGGUGGCGAAGGCGGGUCUCUGGGCCGGAACUGACGCUGAGGAGCGAAAGCGUGGGGAGCGAACAGG